RNAcentral lists this ribosomal RNA (755 nucleotides) under Nesterenkonia sandarakina. RNAcentral's name for it is "bacterial SSU rRNA". It matches the Rfam family "Bacterial small subunit ribosomal RNA", at positions 56 to 824 of the family's 1533-position model. Lineage: Bacteria; Bacillati; Actinomycetota; Actinomycetes; Micrococcales; Micrococcaceae. The record is from RNAcentral.
UGCAGUCGACGAUGAGACCGUGCUUGCACGGUUGGAUUAGUGGCGAACGGGUGACUAUCACGUGAGUAACCUUCCCUUGACUCUGGGAUAAGCCCGGGAAACUGGGUCUAAUACCGGAUACGACCAGACCUCGCAUGGGGUGCUGGUGGAAAGAUUUAUCGGUCUUGGAUGGACUCGCGGCCUAUCAGCUUGUUGGUGAGGUAAUGGCUCACCAAGGCGAUGACGGGUAGCCGGCCUGACAGGGUGACCGGCCACACUGGGACUGAUACACGGCCCAGACUCCUACGGGAGGCAGCAGUGGGGAAUAUUGCACAAUGGGCGAAAGCCUGAUGCACCGACGCCGCGUGCGGGAUGACGGCCUUCGGGUUGUAAACCGCUUUCAGCAUGGAAGAAGCGAAAGUGACGGUACCUGCAGAAGAAGCGCCGGCUAACUACGUGCCAGCAGCCGCGGUAAUACGUAGGGCGCGAGCGUUAUCCGGAAUUAUUGGGCGUAAAGAGCUCGUAGGCGGUUUGUCACGUCUGCUGUGAAAGACCGGGGCUCAACCCCGGAAGUGCAGUGGGUACGGGCAGACUAGAGUGCAGUAGGGGAGACUGGAAUUCCUGGUGUAGCUGUGAGAUGCGCAGAUAUCACGAAGAACACCGAUGGCGAAGGCAGGUCUCUGGGCUGUUACUGACGCUGACGAGCGAAAGCAUGGGGAGCGAACAUGAUUAGAUACCCUGGUAGUCCAUGCCGUAAACGUUGGGCACUAUGUGUG